RNAcentral lists this long non-coding RNA (1239 nucleotides) under Jatropha curcas. RNAcentral's name for it is "long non-coding RNA (JCUR_LNC001515)". The record is from RNAcentral. Lineage: Eukaryota; Viridiplantae; Streptophyta; Magnoliopsida; Malpighiales; Euphorbiaceae.
GGAAACUCUACCAUUUUUAGAACUCAAUCAAAAAUCAAAGCGAAACUUGUGUUUUUCUUUGGUUUAGGUUGUGAUUCAUCCAUUUCUAAUCAUAAAAACCAUAAGGAUUCAUUGAAAAGUCUAGAAACACGUUUACCCUAAUCUCAAAGUCGGAUUCUUGGAUCAAAAACUCAACUUUUGGGUUUCUUUAUCCAUUCUUACAUAAACUUUGGGAAAUCUUCAAAAAGGUAGUUCCUAAGGGCCUUUAACCCUUUUCUCCACCUCUUUUUUCAUUUUAUUUUGGUGUUAAAUCACCAUUCUUAUGCCUGGUUGUGAGGGAAACCCGGGAUCAACCAAAAGAGGGAGUCUAUGUUAAAGUAGCGCACUGAGAACUACAGUGGUGGAAGCCACUAGUGUGGCGUGCACCACAAGCUUAUGGCUCGAGCCACUUCCCCAUAGACUCACCCCCCUUUAAGCUCUGUUUUAAUCUGUGACCUUCUUGAUCAGGGAAAAGCUUGGCCCCAUUACAUGUGGCGCACGACACUUUGCCUAUGGCGUCAGUGGCAAAGCUCCAUACUUUAAGCUCAAAUAAAUAAUAAUAAUAAAACUGACCCGAUUUGGGUAUCUAGUGGCAAAGCUCUAGACUUUAUUGGUCUGGGAUGUGUUUUUGCCACGGAUGGAUUUAAUUAACACCAAUAAACAAGGUUUUAGUAGAGAUGGAUGGAUUUGUUCAUCAUUCAUGAUAAGCAUCAAGAUCUUGAACUCUAAUCUUGUUUUAAUCUUUAAAUUUGUUGCUUUAAUUUAAUGGCAUUUACUUUUCCGCACUUUAAAUAUUCUGUCCUUUAAAUUUAUGCCCUUUUAUUCAUUGUAUUAUGAUUAUUAUUGCACUAACCCAUUAUAUAUUAACCUUGGAAUAUAAACAUGCAUCAUUUUAAUCAUUAGUUGAAUGAAUGAAUGUCUUAUGAUUCUGUGUAUGGGAUUGUGUUUCUGUGAAUGUCAUGUUGUAUUAUGUUUUAUGGAUGAUUCUUUAUUGCUUUGGUUUUAUUUUGUCUUGGCUAAAUGUAAAGGGUCCUAAAUGGAUUCCUAAUAAUUGCUAUUAAUUGGGAUUUGGGAAAUUUUGAGAGGGUCAAGAGUAGACUGUAUUCUAGGAGAUUGGUUGUAUUCUUUUCUCCUCCCCGCUUUCUUGUGGAUGCCUUAUUUUAUGUUUUUGUGUGCUUGACCAAUUUGCAUGAUUGACAUAAUUUUUAAAAAUUACAAUAA